RNAcentral lists this long non-coding RNA (1163 nucleotides) under Lonchura striata (white-rumped munia). RNAcentral's name for it is "domestica (Bengalese finch) lncRNA (ENSLSDG00000000686.1)". Lineage: Eukaryota; Metazoa; Chordata; Aves; Passeriformes; Estrildidae. The record is from RNAcentral.
AACCCCAAAAAUACCCCAAAAAUAACCCAAAAACACCCCCAAAAACACCCCAAAAACCCUCCCCAAAAACCCCAAAAAUCCACCCGAAAAUACCCCAAAAAUCCACCCCAAAAACCCUCCCAAAAACCCCCCAAAAACCCUCCCCAAAAACCCCAAAAAUCCACCCAAAAAUACCCCAAAAAUCCACCCCAAAAACACCCCAAAAACCCCAAAAAUACCCCAAAAAUACCCCAAAAACCCUCCCAAAAACCCCCCAAAAACCCUCCCCAAAAACCCCAAAAAUCCACCCAAAAAUACCCCAAAAACCCUCCCCAGAAACCCCAAAAAUCCACCCGAAAUUACCCCCAAAAAUCCCCUGAAAUAUACCCCAAAAAUCCACCCAAAAUACCCCAAAAAUCCACCUAAAAACACCCCAAAAAUCCACCCCAAAAACCCCAAAAAUCCACCCAAAAAUACCCCAAAAAUCCACCUAAAAACACCCCAAAAAUCCACCCCAAAAACCCCAAAAAUCCUCCCAAAAACACCCCAAAAACCCUCCCCAAAAACCCCAAAAAUCCACCCAAAAAUACCCACAAAAAUCCCCUGAAAAAUACCCCAAAAACCCUCCCCAAAAACCCCAAAAAUCCACCCAAAAACCCCCCAAAAACCCUCCCCAAAAACCCCAAAAAUCCCCCAAAAAUCCACCCAAAAACUCCCCAAAAACCCUCCCCAAUUUCAGGACCCCUCCCCAAUUUUGGGACCCCUCCCCAAUUUGGGGACCCCUCCCCAAUUUGGGGACCCCUCCCCAAUUUGGGGACCCCUCCCCAAUUUCAGGGACCCCUCCCCAAUUUCGGGGACCCCUCCCCAAUUUUGGGACCCCUCCCCAAUUUGGGGACCCCUCCCCAAUUUUGGGGACCCCUCCCCAAUUUCGGGACCCCUCCCCAAUUUGGGGACCCCUCCCCAAUUUCAGGGACCCCCGGGACCCCCGGCUGCUGCUCCUGGAGCCCCCCGCGCCCCCCCCGGAGCCCGGCCUGGUCACCGUGAGCACCCCAAAAUUUGAGGGGGGGUCCCCAAAAAUGGGGAGGGGUCCCCAAAAAUGGGGAGGGGGUCCCAAAGUUGGGGGGGGCCCAAAAUUGGGGCGGGGGGCCCAAAAAUGGGGAGGGGGGUCCCCAAAAUUGGGGGGG